Molecule: ribosomal RNA, 390 nt
Filed under: Triticum aestivum (bread wheat)
Lineage: Eukaryota; Viridiplantae; Streptophyta; Magnoliopsida; Poales; Poaceae
Description: partial small subunit ribosomal RNA
Source: RNAcentral
GUGGGAUGUCAUCGCCUAAUCAUCAACUCUGACAAUUUUGAGGUGAUUGAGACCAUGCAGGACGGAGGACAUUCAGCGGGAGCGGCGGCGGCAAUCUUCGAUGACUGCUAUCACUAUGCUUGUGACUUUAUCAUGACUAAAUUCGAACAUUAUAAUAGAGAGGCAAAUAAAGUAGCACAUGAACUUGCUAGAUUAGCUAGAUUUUUUUCGACUUCGGAUUGGUUUAAGGAGCCUAUUAAUGAAAUUGUGACGCUUUUCUCACAAACGAUGUAUUGGUUAUUGCUAAUGAAUAAAAUUUCGUUUUAUUUCAAAAAAAAAAUGUUGACGGGAGAGAGACGGAGCCACGUAGCCGAGGCCCUGUUUGGUUUCAAUAAAUCACCUGACUUAUAA